AGGCUUAUACUAUAUCCACUUACACCUGUGAACUGUUCUACUACUUGACGCAAGUCGAGUAUUUUUACAAACAAUGUGUAAUGAACGUCGUUUUAUUAUAACAAAAUAAAACUUUCAACAACGGAUCUCUUGGCUCUCGCAUCGAUGAAGAACGCAGCGAAUUGCGAUAAGUAAUGUGAAUUGCAGAAUUCAGUGAAUCAUCGAAUCUUUGAACGCAGCUUGCGCUCUCUGGUAUUCCGGAGAGCAUGCCUGUUUCAGUGUCAUGAAAUCUCAACCACUAGGGUUUCCUAAUGGAUUGGAUUUGGGCGUCUGCGAUUUCUGAUCGCUCGCCUUAAAAGAGUUAGCAAGUUUGACAUUAAUGUCUGGUGUAAUAAGUUUCACUGGGUCCAUUGUGUUGAAGCGUGCUUCUAAUCGUCCGCAAGGACAAUUACUUUGACUCUGGCCUGAAAUCAGGUAGGACUACCCGCUGA
Molecule: ribosomal RNA, 470 nt
Filed under: Trichosporon asahii
Lineage: Eukaryota; Fungi; Basidiomycota; Tremellomycetes; Trichosporonales; Trichosporonaceae
Description: eukaryotic LSU rRNA
Rfam family: 5.8S ribosomal RNA (bases 110-263)
Source: RNAcentral